GACGAACGCUGGCGGCGUGCUUAACACAUGCAAGUCGAACGGAAAGGCCCUGCUUUUGUGGGGUGCUCGAGUAGCGAACGGGUGAGUAACACGUGAGUAACCUGCCCUUGACUUUGGGAUAACUUCAGGAAACUGGGGCUAAUACCGGAUAGGAGCUCCUGCUGCAUGGUGGGGGUUGGAAAGUUUCGGCGGUUGGGGAUGGACUCGCGGCUUAUCAGCUUGUUGGUGGGGUAGUGGCUUACCAAGGCUUUGACGGGUAGCCGGCCUGAGAGGGUGACCGGCCACAUUGGGACUGAGAUACGGCCCAGACUCCUACGGGAGGCAGCAGUGGGGAAUAUUGCACAAUGGGCGGAAGCCUGAUGCAGCAACGCCGCGUGCGGGAUGACGGCCUUCGGGUUGUAAACCGUUUUCGCCUGUGACGAAGCGUGAGUGACGGUAAUGGGUAAAGAAGCACCGGCUAACUACGUG
This 468-nucleotide ribosomal RNA is filed under the name uncultured bacterium. RNAcentral describes it as "partial 16S ribosomal RNA". It matches the Rfam family "Bacterial small subunit ribosomal RNA", at positions 28 to 507 of the family's 1533-position model. The record is from RNAcentral.